AGUCGAGGGGUAUGGUUCUUCGGAACCAGAGACCGGCGCACGGGUGCGUAACGCGUAUGCAAUCUGCCUUUCACAGAGGGAUAGCCCAGAGAAAUUUGGAUUAAUACCUCAUAGUAUAGCGACAUCGCAUGAUGAUGCUAUUAAAGUCACAACGGUGAAAGAUGAGCAUGCGUCCCAUUAGCUAGUUGGUAAGGUAACGGCUUACCAAGGCAACGAUGGGUAGGGGUCCUGAGAGGGAGAUCCCCCACACUGGUACUGAGACACGGACCAGACUCCUACGGGAGGCAGCAGUGAGGAAUAUUGGUCAAUGGGCGCAGGCCUGAACCAGCCAUGCCGCGUGCAGGAUGACGGUCCUAUGGAUUGUAAACUGCUUUUGCACAGGAAGAAACACUGAUUCGUGAAUCAGCUUGACGGUACUGUGAGAAUAAGGAUCGGCUAACUCCGUGCCAGCAGCCGCGGUAAUACGGAGGAUCCAAGCGUUAUCCGGAAUCAUUGGGUUUAAAGGGUCCGUAGGCGGUCUGGUAAGUCAGUGGUGAAAGCCCAUCGCUCAACGGUGGAACGGCCAUUGAUACUGCUGGACUUGAAUUAUUAGGAAGUAACUAGAAUAUGUAGUGUAGCGGUGAAAUGCUUAGAGAUUACAUGGAAUACCAAUUGCGAAGGCAGGUUACUACUAAUGGAUUGACGCUGAUGGACGAAAGCGUGGGUAGCGAACAGGAUUAGAUACCCUGGUAGUCCACGCCGUAAACGAUGGAUACUAGCUGUUGGAAGCAAUUUCAGUGGCUAAGCGAAAGUGAUAAGUAUCCCACCU
RNAcentral lists this ribosomal RNA (808 nucleotides) under uncultured bacterium. RNAcentral's name for it is "bacterial SSU rRNA". It matches the Rfam family "Bacterial small subunit ribosomal RNA", at positions 60 to 874 of the family's 1533-position model. The record is from RNAcentral.